CCGGAGCUAACGCGUUAAGUAGACCGCCUGGGGAGUACGGCCGCAAGGUUAAAACUCAAAUGAAUUGACGGGGGCCCGCACAAGCGGUGGAGCAUGUGGUUUAAUUCGAUGCAACGCGAAGAACCUUACCUGGUCUUGACAUCCACGGAAGAAUCCAGAGAUGGAUUUGUGCCUUCGGGAGCCGUGAGACAGGUGCUGCAUGGCUGUCGUCAGCUCGUGUUGUGAAAUGUUGGGUUAAGUCCCGCAACGAGCGCAACCCUUAUCCUUUGUUGCCAGCGGUCCGGCCGGGAACUCAAAGGAGACUGCCAGUGAUAAACUGGAGGAAGGUGGGGAUGACGUCAAGUCAUCAUGGCCCUUACGACCAGGGCUACACACGUGCUACAAUGGCGCAUACAAAGAGAAGCGACCUCGCGAGAGCAAGCGGACCUCAUAAAGUGCGUCGUAGUCCGGAUUGGAGUCUGCAACUCGACUCCAUGAAGUCGGAAUCGCUAGUAAUCGUGGAUCAGAAUGCCACGGUGAAUACGUUCCCGGGCCUUGUACACACCGCCCGUCACACCAUGGGAGUGGGUUGCAAAAGAAGUAGGUAGCUUAACCUUCGGGAGGGCGCUUACCACUUUGUGAUUCAUGACUGGGGUGAAGUCGUAACAAGGUAACCGUAGGGGAACCUGCGGUUGGA
RNAcentral lists this ribosomal RNA (676 nucleotides) under Salmonella enterica. RNAcentral's name for it is "bacterial SSU rRNA". It matches the Rfam family "Bacterial small subunit ribosomal RNA", at positions 846 to 1522 of the family's 1533-position model. Lineage: Bacteria; Pseudomonadati; Pseudomonadota; Gammaproteobacteria; Enterobacterales; Enterobacteriaceae. The record is from RNAcentral.